This 488-nucleotide unclassified non-coding RNA is filed under the name Hevea brasiliensis (rubber tree). Lineage: Eukaryota; Viridiplantae; Streptophyta; Magnoliopsida; Malpighiales; Euphorbiaceae. The record is from RNAcentral.
AUGCUAUAGACACUGCUAUAGUUGGGAUGCUUGCUGAUCCUAAGGAGGCGAGGGCUGGUAUUCAGGAGGUUCACUUUUUACCCUUCAAUCCGACUGACAAGAGGACUGCAUUAACCUACAUUGAUGGUGAUGGAAAGAUGCACCGAGUGAGCAAGGGCGCGCCAGAACAAAUUCUGAAUCUUGCACAUAAUAAAUUAGAGAUUGAGCGCAGAGUCCAUACAGUAAUUGAUAAGUUUGCCGAGCGAGGGCUUCGGUCACUUGCUGUAGCAUAUCAAGAAGUUCCGGAAGGAAGGAAGGAAAGCCCGGGAGGUCCAUGGCAAUUUAUCGGACUUCUGCCGCUCUUUGAUCCCCCAAGACACGAUAGUGCAGAGACUAUACGGAGGGCGCUCAACCUAGGAGUCAGCGUCAAGAUGAUUACUGGUGAUCAAUUGGCAAUUGGGAAGGAAACUGGACGCCGUUUGGGGAUGGGUACAAAUAUGUAUCCUUCA